AGCUCCAUUAGCGUAUAUUAAAGUUGUUGCAGUUAAAAAGCUCGUAGUUGGAUUUCGGUGUGGGCCAGUGGGUCGGCCGCGAGGCCUGUUACUGACUGGUCCGCUCUUCCUCUCAAAGACUGCGCGUGCCCUUCGCUGGGUGUGCGUAUUUGGAUUUGGGACGUUUACUUUGAAAAAAUUAGAGUGUUCAAGGCAGGCUCGCCAGCUUGAAUACAUGAGCAUGGAAUAAUGGAAUAGGACUACGGUCCCUAUUUCGUUGGUUUGACGGACCGAAGUAAUGAUUAAUAGGGAUAGUUGGGGGCAUUAGUAUUUAAUUGUCAGAGGUGGAAUUCUUUGAUUUGUUAAAGACUAACCUAUGCGAAAGCAUUUGCCAAGGAUGUUUUCAUUAAUCAAGAACGAA
Molecule: ribosomal RNA, 400 nt
Filed under: phytoplankton environmental sample
Lineage: Eukaryota
Description: partial small subunit ribosomal RNA
Rfam family: Eukaryotic small subunit ribosomal RNA
Source: RNAcentral